Molecule: small nuclear RNA, 156 nt
Organism: Nannospalax galili (Upper Galilee mountains blind mole rat)
Lineage: Eukaryota; Metazoa; Chordata; Mammalia; Rodentia; Spalacidae
Gene: U1
Rfam family: U1 spliceosomal RNA
About the family: U1 is a small nuclear RNA (snRNA) component of the spliceosome (involved in pre-mRNA splicing).
Source: Ensembl
AUAUUUACCUUCCAGGGAUGAUACCAUGAUUCCAAAGGUGAUUUCCCCAGAACAAGGCUCAUCCACUGCACUCCAGAUGUGCUGACCCCUGCAAUUUCCCCAAAUGUGGGAAACUCAACUGCACAAUUUGUGAUACUGACAGUGUUUACUCUGUUA